Molecule: long non-coding RNA, 1759 nt
Filed under: Equus caballus (horse)
Lineage: Eukaryota; Metazoa; Chordata; Mammalia; Perissodactyla; Equidae
Description: lncRNA (ENSECAG00000051248.1)
Source: RNAcentral
GUCCACAAUGAGCUUUGGGGUGAGGAUCCAGGUCCUGCUCUAGGCUGGUGUCUCAGACCUGCUGGGUUUUGGAUGCAUGACCAGCCCCAUCUUAGCUGCCUCAGUGUCACUGCACUUUGGGAGGGACCCAUACCCCAGUCUGAAGAUCAACCACCAUUGGAAGCCCUGGGAGCAGGUAUUGCUACCUGUGUUCUAGGCCAGGACACUGGGCUCAGAGAGGUUAAGUGACCUGCCCAGGGCUCCACGAUCAUGGGGGGCAGAUCUCAGGUUCAGGUCUCCCUGCCCCCGCAGCUGUUGUCAUGAGUCACACUGUUGUCCAGACAUUCGAGCUGCGUGUGGGAGGGGGGCAGGGAGGGGCCGAAAGGCCCAGAGCGAAUCAGAUGCAGCCAUCAAGGAGCUCAUGGCUGGAAUGGGAGGGCAGCCAGCAGCCCACAGCCCUCCUGGCAGGCGGAGGGCUCAGGGUCAGACCACGAGAAAGGGGCCCCGAGAGCUUCAGGACCCGGGACAGCGCCCACCGUCCCCGUGCUGCAAGCUGGGGCCAGGGGUCUCUGUCCCAUUCACUCACACUGCCCUCACCCCAGCACCGAGAGGCGGGCCAUGUGGACACCCUGGUCUGCAGAUGAGGGCUCAGAGAGGGGACGUGACCUGCCCGAAGCCACCAGCUCCUGAACUGUAGGACUCGAACUCCACGGCAGAGGCUGCUCUCAACCUCUCAGCCCUCACUGAUGCUGAUGAAACAGAGCUCCCCGCGCCCUGAGGUGGACUCAGCCCUCCUCACACGCCGGAUCCCUAAAGGAAGACUGGUGCAAACCCAGCCCCGACGCACCAUCUGUGCUCUCCCAUCGGUGCAGCCCAGGCAGAGCCCAGCCGACAGGACCCUGCACUGGCCUCGUGCCCAUCAUCUGCCAGAGUUGUGCCCACGCCUGCCCAGCCUGACCCGGACCAACCAUCCUCGUUCCUGAAGUUGGCCUCGUGUUGGACGGCGGCCGAGCACCUGCUCAGUUGUGAUCCGAACUCAGGCCUGGCCCUCCCUGGUCCCUCCACGUCCAACCUCCAUCCCCCCACCCCCAGGCUGAACAGAGGAGGGGAGGGGGAAUGGUGAAGCUGGGAGCCACAGUAGCAGCUGAAGGGAUGGGGUUAGAGUGGAGAAAGAUCCCAAGAGAAGCAGGAGAGAUCACCGGGAGAUAAAAGCUAGGUUGAAUUGUGUCCCUCAAAAAAGAUAUGUUGGAGUCUUAACCCCCAGGACCUGAGAACGGGAGCUUACUUGGAGACGGGGCCUUUCCAAGGUGCUCCAGGAGGAGCUGACCCUGCCGACCUUGGCCUCGGACUUCCGGGCUCCAGCACCGUGAGAGAAGAGAUGUCGGCCGUCCCAGCCGCCCCGUCUGUGGUGUGGCUGACACCAGCCCGAGGUGACUAACAGACCCAGGCCCCAGGUCCUCUCCUCCACUGACCCUCGGGAGUGGCGAUGCCCCCGGUGCCCAGGGCCUCCUGACAAAGAGCUCGUGGGUCCAGCGGAGCCUCAAGCCUCAUCUAGCCUAGGCCCAGGAACCCCCACAAGAGCAGAGAUGCUCGUCCCACCUCCACCCACCUCGCCCCAACAUCCUUGCUGCCCUGCACACCUGCGGGCCCUGUCCCUGCUCUCCCGGGAGCCCGGCACAAGACAGCGAGGGCCCAAAGGCUAGUGGCUGCAGACCAGUGGGGGCGCUGGCUGAUCACGGCUGUCGCAUCCACGGCCUCAUGAUGCAGGACCAGAGCAGGG